This is a long non-coding RNA of Pipistrellus kuhlii (Kuhl's pipistrelle), 376 nucleotides long. RefSeq lists it as uncharacterized. NCBI's taxonomy places the organism in Eukaryota, Metazoa, Chordata, Mammalia, Chiroptera, Vespertilionidae. The transcript is spliced from 2 exons. The record is from RefSeq and is a predicted model, not a curated record.
CUUGGACAGAGAAUCUGUUAGCACUUGCUUGCCACCUUGCAAUCCUGGGCUUUCCAAAUGGGCCGUUCAAACAGCACCGAGGACAGCUGGGACACCCCUUGCCUGCUGUGAGGAGCCGUGCGGCGUUUCCAGCUGGCAGGAGAGCCGAGGAGGAGGCGCAGGAUCGCCCCAGGCGCUCGGAGGAACGGUGGGCAGAGAACUGUCAGCUGCAUGAACAGGCAGAUGCAGCAGCAGCCACAUUCAGACCAAGAGAAACAAACUGUUAACAAGAUUCUUAAUCUCUUUUCCUCAAUUCCAUUGGAAACACAUAUUCACUCAGGCUACAGUGGGUAUAAAUCCAGAUGACUAUUUCAAGUAAAGAAGCUUCUAGAAUUUA